Molecule: ribosomal RNA, 465 nt
Filed under: uncultured bacterium
Lineage: Bacteria
Description: partial 16S ribosomal RNA
Rfam family: Bacterial small subunit ribosomal RNA
Source: RNAcentral
GAUGAACGCUGGCGGCGUGCUUAACACAUGCAAGUCGAACGAUGAAGCCCAGCUUGCUGGGUGGAUUAGUGGCGAACGGGUGAGUAACACGUGAGUAACCUGCCCUUGACUUUGGGAUAAGCCCGGGAAACUGGGUCUAAUACCGGAUAGGAGCGCCUGUCGCAUGACGGGUGUUGGAAAGAUUUUUCGGUCAUGGAUGGACUCGCGGCCUAUCAGCUUGUUGGUGAGGUAAUGGCUCACCAAGGCGACGACGGGUAGCCGGCCUGAGAGGGUGACCGGCCACACUGGGACUGAGACACGGCCCAGACUCCUACGGGAGGCAGCAGUGGGGAAUAUUGCACAAUGGGCGGAAGCCUGAUGCAGCGACGCCGCGUGAGGGAUGACGGCCUUCGGGUUGUAAACCUCUUUCAGUAGGGAAGAAGCGAAAGUGACGGUACCUGCAGAAGAAGCACCGGCUAACUACGU